GUAGAAUUUACUUGAAUGAUGGUUGCUCU
Molecule: non-coding RNA, 29 nt
Filed under: Rattus norvegicus (Norway rat)
Lineage: Eukaryota; Metazoa; Chordata; Mammalia; Rodentia; Muridae
Source: RNAcentral